This 380-nucleotide ribosomal RNA is filed under the name uncultured cyanobacterium. RNAcentral describes it as "bacterial SSU rRNA". It matches the Rfam family "Bacterial small subunit ribosomal RNA", at positions 376 to 770 of the family's 1533-position model. The record is from RNAcentral. Lineage: Bacteria; Bacillati; Cyanobacteriota.
CGAAAGCCUGACGGAGCAAUACAGCGUGAGGGAAGACUGCCUAUGGGUUGUAAACCUCUUUUUUCAGGGAGGAAUAAAUGACGUGUACCUGAAGAAUAAGCAUCGGCUAACUCCGUGCCAGCAGCCGCGGUAAGACGGAGGAUGCAAGUGUUAUCCGGAAUCACUGGGCGUAAAGCGUCUGUAGGUGGUUUAAUAAGUCAACUGUUAAAUCUUGAGGCUCAACCUCAAAAUCGCAGUCGAAACUAUUAGACUAGAGUAUAGUAGAGGUAAAGGGAAUUUCCAGUGGAGCGGUGAAAUGCGUAGAUAUUGGAAAGAACACCGAUGGCGAAAGCACUUUACUGGGCUAUUACUAACACUCAGAGACGAAAGCUAGGGUAGCA